Crocodylus porosus (Australian saltwater crocodile) is the source of this 73-nucleotide non-coding RNA. The record is from Ensembl. NCBI's taxonomy places the organism in Eukaryota, Metazoa, Chordata, Crocodylia, Crocodylidae.
CUGGUAGAAUGGCCGAGUGUGAUGGCAGUGGGCUGUAAACCCAUUUACAGAGGUUCAAAUCCUCUUUUUACCA